AUGAUUCUUAAUUAUUCUCAGUCUACUACCAUUAUGUUAGACUUUUAGAAGUGAACCUUCUAGGAAAGUUGCCAUUUGGUAACCUCAAAGAUGUGCCUUCAAAAAGUGAGUGAACUCAUUUCUUUUUUUUAAAUAAUGGUUCCUUAACAUUUGAAAUACAAGUUCUUGUCUUUGGUUUAUAUAUUAUUGAGGUUUUGGUUUUUAGCAUUUAAAGUAGUUUAAGCUGCAAAUUUCUCAUAUGGCAAAUUUAUUCUAAUCUCUGAAACCAUCUGUUAAUUGGAAUUUCUAUAGCAUUUAAAGAGCUUGAUUUGGAGGAUGUCAAUUACAAUACUGGUGGCAUAGUAGCAAAUCCUAUUAGGAGUCAGAUUAGUCCUAGUUUUUAUGAUCCUUAGCAAGUUUAGUAAAAAACCUAAUAAAACAAUAACAGCAAUGAAUACUUAAAUAGCAGCACUAUGUGUCAGACACUGUUCGAGGCCCUUUAUAAACUUUAAUUCUUGAAAAAACUGGAGGAAACAGACACAGAAAAUUUUCUAACUUGCCCUGGAUCACACAGCUAGUGGUGGAACUAGUAUAGAAACCCAUGUCGCUGGGUCCAGAGCGACAUGGGUCUGAGCCAUUGUGCUCCACCAGCUCUUCCAGUCUGGGGAUGGGGAGCACCGUUUCAGAGCAGCACUUACACCAUUUUUGGCAAGUGGUCAUUCAGGACUCACUGGAGCAUUUCCAUUACAUAUUGGGUUUCUUCUACCAUGAAAGCUAACCUCACCAUUUAUAUUAUAUUCCCUCUGUUUUCCAAGGGUCUUGCUCUUUUGAAUAUUUUUUCUCUGUCUUCAAUCUUCAACAUUCUUUGUAGUACAGUAUUGUCACUAUAUAUUUUUUCCACUUAAUACUGGCUUCUUUCCACCAGCAUUUGAAUGGCAAAUCCCUUAAAAUUUAAAAUUUAAAAAAAUUUUAAAAUUUAAAAAAUCCUCCCUUCUGUGAUCCACCCGCUCGUCGCCUCUUGAGUUGCCUCCAUUCUGCCUCCCCUUCUUCAACCUGUUCUAAUCUAGCCUUUAGCCUUACUGAUUUAGAGAAACUGCUCUUCACCAAAGUCACCCAUGACCUUUUACUAAUCCCAACAAACAUUUUUGUCUUUGUCUUUUGGAAGCCUGUAACUUGGCUGCCCACUCUCUUCAUGCACCCCCUCUUUUACCUUGAGGUUUGUGACAUCUUCUAGCCAAGUUCCCUUCCUACCCCUCUGGCCCUUCCCAGUUUCAAGGUUUCUAGUGACUCUCUGCCCUAGGGAUUUGCUUCCUUCCCACUCUACAGAGUCAGCCUAAGUUUUUUCAGCCACUUGUGUGGCUUCCUUUUCUUGAUAUACAUGUAGAUGGCUUGCAAAUCUUUAGCUUACAGCUCUGCUGAGCUUCACACCCAUAUUUUUAGGUCUUAUAGUUUAUCUCACUUGGAUAGCUUGCAAGCUACCUUAGAUAUGUACAAUCUGAACUAUACCCUUUACAUACACAGACAUACACAAGCUGUUUUUAUUUCUGUUUCCUCUCAGAGAAUCAUCUGUCUACCCAGUUGCUCAAAACAAAUCGUUUUCUGACACUUUCUCUUCCCUUACAUCACCUCUCCCCCAAUUCCCCCACCCCCAACUAAAUACCAUUAUUUUAAUUCAGGCCAUCGUGAACUCAAAUGAACUAUUCUGAUAGCCUCCUAAAUGGUCUGCUGCAAGUUACAUCACCUUACAACCCCAAAGUGAUCUUUCUAGAGUGAUCCUGUUGCUCCUGCUUAAAUUACUUUGAAGGUCUUCACUUUGUCAUUAGGAUAAAGUCCAAACUCUUCCUUGGCUAAGUCUCACUCUACUUGCUUCUCCAACUUUAUCUUUUACAACUUUGUCUCUCCUUGAUAGUUCCAGUCAAGUUUAAGUUCUUUAGUUUACUGAAAGGGUGAUGUGUGCCCUCUCCACUCUGAGCCUUCAUGCUUAUUUUCUCUUCUGCUGGCAUAUUUACCAAUACUGCCAAUUACCUGGCAAAUGUUUACAAUUUUUCAGGUCUCAUCUUCAAUGUAACUUCCUCUGGAAAAUCUUUACUGACUACACCUUGCCCCCCAGCUAGACCAGGUCAGAUAUCCCUGCUGUGUGCUUACUGUAGCAUUUCAUGGCAUUUCUGAAACUUUCCUGUAAUUGUAGAGAUGGCAGGGACUUUGCUUGUGCUGUUCACUGUUGUCUCUCCAAUAUAGCGCCUAGUGUUUGGCACCUAGAAAAUGUGCAGUCAGUAUUUGUUAAAUGAGAAGAUACUACUUCCAAUGGCAUAUUCUUUGAGCACCUAAUUAUUUAGAAGUUUCUUGUGUUAAGUGGAACUUUGUAACUUCUUUUUUUUUGGAGUCUAGCUCUGUCUUCCAGGCUGGAGUGCGAUGGUGCGAUCUCAGCUCACUGCAACCUCUGCCUCCCGGGUUCAAGCAAUUCUCCUGCCUCAGCCUCCCAAGUAGCUGGGAUUACAGGUGCCUGCCAUCACGCCCAGCUAAUUUUUUGUAUUUUCAGUAGAGACGGGGGUUUCACCAUGUUGGCCAGGCUGGUCUCAAACUCCUGACCUCAAGUGAUCCACCCGCCUCGGCCACCCAAAGUGCUGGUAUUACAGGCGUGAGCCACCGCACCCAGCCUGUCACUUCUAUUUAAUGAUUCUGGUUCUAUACCCUAAGGAACACAAAGAACAAAUCAUUAGACAGCCUUCAAAUGAACAAAGGAAUGUGCUCUGUGCUUCUAUUUCACAUAGGGCACGGUGCCUAGAAUUGAACAAGCGCCUAGGUGUGGCCUGACCUCAGAGUGGAGUGGAACCAUCACUAUGCUCAUUUGACAGCCUAUCCUAGUAAUAAGUCAUCAGAAAACAUAGAAUUGCAUAUUCAUUUGCACUACUGGAGAGUGCCGCUCUAAGAAGAAACCCACAGGGAAGAAGCCCAGAAGAGAGGCAGUUUUGUCAUGAACACUUUGAGCCCUUCUUUCUACACCUGUAUUCCUACUUGAGGAAGUCAAGGUAGAUGAUCUGAAUUGUCAUAAUUUCAUAUUUAUUGCGCCACAAGUGGGGUUAACUGAGCCAUACAUGCACAACAAUGCCUCUCCACCUGCCUCCUAUGUAAUUAAGAGGAGCGAGGGUAUUUCUCACUUCUUCCUCUCAGGAGGUAAACCCACCAGAAAGGCCUGCAAUAGGGAAGCACAUGCAGUUAGCCGCUUCACCAGCUGCAGCAGGGAAGGUAUGUGCAAUUUUGGCUAGGAGGGCAGGGCCCUCCCUACUUUUGCAUUCUAUGCUUUUUAGUUAUCAAGCAGAGAGUAACUCUGUCAACACCACUUGCUUUUUUCCUUUAUAACGUUUUGGCCUGGAUCCAAGUCUGUUAGGUUUUAAGUUGCCCCGACCUAGUAAAAAUAAUAAUAUAUAAGAACAACUGCUGUUGCCACAACUCAGCUAAUUCCAUGUGGAUACAGAUAUGUGUGAUGCCUUGGCUUUUGGGUGUCAGCUCUAGGUACUGGGAGUUGGCACUGGAAUAGGUGUGUGCAUAGGCAGAUUCCACUCCUACAUGAGGAAGCAAAACUAACCCUUAAUGAGAUUUCUCCAAAGAAGUUUAAGAUUUGCCUCCUGAUGAACCUGAAGUCAGGAUUCUUUUCAUUUUAUGUUUUAUCCACCCUCUCCCACAUGCCACUACAACUUUACUAUUGUCCAUGAUCGGUAGGGGCAGUGUGGGUCUAGCCUCUGACACAAUUCAGACUGAGGCUGGGCAGGAUAAGACAUUGAAGGAGGAAAGACUUGAAGUUCCAAUUUCUUUAGAAUUUACUUUCUUUAUGGAAAUUAAUGGAAAGAAGGUCAGGUUGCUCAUCUGAGGUAUUUUCUAUUGCUGCCAUUCACUUGGGUUUUCUUUUUUGUUUUUGUGUGGUGCUCAUUGUACAACCUCCUCUGACAAAAGUGUCUCACUAUGAGCUGAGGUGGUAAGUAGAACAGGGAAUGAAUUUCAGCCUUGGGAGAAACUUAGCUUUAAGCUACAGUGAUUAAUAUCCUAGCCUACCAUUUGAUUAUCUACAGGUGUCAGGAUGACACAGAAAGUAUAGUGGAAGGUCUCAGGGGAGUGGAGUCAUGGAAGUGGUAUUGGCCUGUCUUGACACAGUGAUGGUCGUCUCUUCAAGGGGCACACCCACACCAAUAAAAGGAAAGCAUACUGGUAUGGAUUGGUAGAUCCGUCUUUAUUUCCCCGCUUUACAUUUCUAAAGGGAGGGGAAUGGCCCUAUAGAGUAGGAAGAGAACAUUAAAAUAAUCACUGCUUGUCACCUCCUUGCUUCUUGUGUGCCUUCUCCAAGGGAAGACUGGCUAACUCUGAAUGUGACAUUCUCUGGGUCACCUUACCAGAGGUCUUAAAGAAUUAAUGUGCUUCAAAAGCCAAUCUCAUCUUUCAUUGGCUGACUCACAGGGAAUCGCUAAAGCAUGGGAGUGAUUAGGAAGGCCCAGGUAGAACAUGUUGAGCGAGAAGAGAGCCAUGAUACAACCCUCGGGGAAUACCAACUCUUAAGUGGCAGAUGAAUGAAGAGAAGCCUAUGAAAAAGAGUCACUGAGGAAGAAGAAUCAGGAGCAGGGGAUGUUUUGAAAACUGACAGGAGAGAAUUUGAGGAAGUAGUCAACCUUGUAAAUGCAUAAAAGGAUUGAGAAUCAAUUGUCUUUAGCAAUUUGGCAGUUUACAGAGAAGUGGAGAGAUGAGAAGAAGGAAAGAGCAGUUAAUAUAGACUUUUUCAAGGAGCUUGGUUGUAGAAUGUUUGGUAUAUUGCUGGUGUUCAAUAAAUAUUUGUAGAAUGAAUGAGGAAAGGGAAGCAGAAUCUUGGAGAAGUGGCAGCUUCUAUGAAGGUAGAUUUGAACAGCUUGUAAACUGGAAAAGGGCCAAUGGGAAAGGAAUAAUCUAGAAAAUACAAGUGGAAGGAGAGAGAAUAAAAAACAUUUGGAGCACAGAGAACUGUGCAGGGCAGGACUAGAAUUUCUCAGGAAGGCACUUGGUUUCGGUCAUCUGUAGAUAUACUGUGGUAGAAAUCUUUUUUUGUUGUUCCCCACAUAUAUGAGAAUAAUCUGACAAUAAGGUCUAAGAGGACUGUUUUUGAAAAAGUAAUUAGCAUAACCUGGAAGGUAGCAGUUCCUUCUAGAUUUGAUUUUGUUACUCUUGAUCCUUCCAUACCAACUCUUUUCUCCUACCUAAUCUUAACCCUUUAAAAGUAUGUUUUCAUUUCCUUUGUUUAGUCAGUUUUCAAGUGUCAGAGAAAGGGUGGAAUGCUAAGUGCACUGGGACUAAGCAGCUAGUACAAGCCCUGUAUCUGCUAUGAUCCAGUUGUGAGACCCGGACCAAGCUAGUGAGCUCCUUUGAGCCUCACUUUCAUGUCUGUGAUGUGCAGCUACAGGAAGCCAGGUAUCUCCCAGAUUCCUUUCAACUCUGACAUCUGUAGAUUUUAGAUAUUUCUAAUUCUUUAUAGAGAUAGCACUCUAUGAACAGAUGGAUACAUUUGCAGGUAGUACAUAAGAAAAUCUGAUUCUUUAAGUAUUCAAGCUAAAAUUGUUUUAUCACACAGGUGCUUAAUAUUUUAUUCACAUAUAAUAUUUGAAGCUCACCCCCAGAUGGUUUUGUAACCAAAGCUGACAUAACUUUGAUAAGAGGUUGGAACAGGUGGGAGAAAGCAGAGGAAAGUUUAAUGUUUUUCCCUGAAGGAGGAACUGCUGAGCACAAGGAUGAUCUCCAUGCUUAGUCUUGCCUCUUCUCUGCAAAUGCCCAGUUGGAGGGAUGCAGUUGCUGCAGCUGGGAUGAAGGUGAAUCAUUAUUGCUGUGCAUUCUAAAUACCAGUGGCUUUCAAUUUGCAUUUCAUAAGACUCAAGAUUUGGUUACAUGUUUCUAGGGCGUUCAGAGAAAAAGCCCUAGAAAAACGUGUAACCAAAUCUUAAGAGAAUGUGUUUAGUUUGAGCCUUGUCUGUCAUCUCUAGGUCCUGCCCUUAAACUGAACCAUAGGUGCUGUGUGGUGUGAAAACUGUUCUAGAAAAGUUGUGUAUUCAUCCAGAUGUCAUUAGUUCAAUUUACCUAAGCUCUACCUAAAGUUGAUGUUUGCAUGCAUGAGUUACUUUCACAGUUACGAAUGUUGGUUCAGAUUGACAUCACAUUUACAUUUCAGGAGACAACUGGCCCCAUAAAUACCCUGGCACUUGUAGACACGUGCCUCCAGCUGAGUGUCUUAUAGCUCUUCAGUAAGCAGUGUUACACAGCACAUCAUCAUCAUCUAUACAUUCUAGAUCCCAGGAGACUCUAAUAUUGAGCUUGGGAAGGAAAACAAGUAAGUAUCUGGAACGUGGCAACAACAUAUAAUUUUCUUGGGUUCUAGACAUAUUAAAAUUUUUUACUCAAACUCAGAAAAGGCUAGAAGGGCUUGGAAGGACAAGAAUAACAAAACUUUUCAGAGAUUAUAAAUUAAACAUUGUAAUAAAUCAAAUUUUACAAAUGUUCUAAAUGAUACUUUUAGAAUUAAGUAAUUUUAGGCACCAGAAGAAAAGUCAUUUCAAAGUCUGUUAAUGGUACCAAUUGCUAUUAAAUCAUGAAGUUAAUACUGACUUAAGAUACCCCAUAGUUAACCCAUGGUAAUAGCCAUUUAUGUUUGUGACUGAUAAGUAGGUAGAUAUACUUAGAGGUUAAUGUGAGGUUUUUUUAACUUUUAUUUUAGAUUUGUGAUGGUGUGAGUUUUUAAAAUCAAAGAUCACGUCAUAAAAAUAUAGGGUGUGCAUUUUAAGUCUUUAAUGAAAUUUUUAACAUUUGAAUAAAGGGAAAAAUAAAAUUGCUUUCUUACCUUCA
This is a long non-coding RNA of Gorilla gorilla gorilla (western lowland gorilla), 6828 nucleotides long. RefSeq lists it as uncharacterized. NCBI's taxonomy places the organism in Eukaryota, Metazoa, Chordata, Mammalia, Primates, Hominidae. The transcript is spliced from 2 exons. The record is from RefSeq and is a predicted model, not a curated record.